Molecule: long non-coding RNA, 6475 nt
Filed under: Sus scrofa (pig)
Lineage: Eukaryota; Metazoa; Chordata; Mammalia; Artiodactyla; Suidae
Description: lncRNA (ENSSSCG00005043747.1)
Source: RNAcentral
CCGGAGGGGGUCGGGACCUGCCUCCACAUCCCCUCUCAGAGCACCUGCCUCCUCUCUCGGCGGCACCCCCGACCCCAGCCUCCUCACUCGCGCCCCCACACAGCCAGCAGCCCCGGGCCCGCCUGGGGGCAGGAAGUCGAGAACAUGGCUGACCAUUUCGUCCCAACUGGGCCAGCAGUCGUGACUGUGUGUUUCCACAGGGGCAGGUAACUCUAAGAUUUUUCACGUGGAUGUGGAACCCUGAAGGGUAGAGCUGGUCUGGCCCCCACGACCCUGGAUUAGAGAUGGCCGGCUCCCCCCAGGGGACUGCAGUUGGAGUCCUGGCAGGUUUGGUCAUCGUCCCCUCCUCCCAGCUGGGCAGGGACCUGCACUCAGGCACAGCCGGGCACUCCCUUUAGAGAGCUGCGGGUGAGAGCAAAGGUCGCUGCCGAGUGGGAAAGAGGAAAGAAAUAACCACCCUCGGCCCUUCUGGGGGAUUCUUCCCUUGGAAGUGAGGGUCGGAGCAGUGAUUUGAAGAGGUUUCAGCAGGGGAGGCCGAGUCCGUCUCUGGCAAGUGAAGGGCAAGAGAUGAGAAAUCUGAGCACCUGGUCCUGCUCUCGGAGCAGCACCACUUGUGCGCUGGUGACACUGCACAGGGUGCAUCAUGCCUUGAGCCUCAGGACUCCUAUCUGUAAAAAGGGCACAUGACCUGCCCUUGUUGUUGCGAUGGUCACAAAGAGGUAAGGCAGGAAAAAGGCUCUUUGCACACAAUGUGGUUCUUACACGUGCCAAGUAUUAGGAACGUACAAUAGAGGGGAGCAAACGGACCCAGAAUUCCAACCGGGGGUAGUAGCCUGCUGUGUCUUAGGAGGCGGGGCCAGCUUAUACUUUGCUUCAGGAAACUUCAAAGCAAGAAGGGGCCCUGGAGUUCCCUUGUGGCACAGUGGGUUAAGGAUCUGGUGCUGUCACCGAAGUGGCAAGGGUUUGAUCCCUGGCCCGGGGAACUUCCACCUGCCAUGGGCUCAACCAAAAAAAAAAAAAAGAAGGGACCCCAAAUUCAUUGGCUCCUUAUGAGGCUGCAUCCAGCACUGUGCAAAGCACUGGGGACACCGUGCAGAGUAGGACACAUGCGGGAUCUCCCCUGGGGGCUCCUGUCAGGUGAGAGACAGAUGUGAACCAAGUAAUUGCCUGAUAAUAACGUCUGAUAACAGUCAGGCGAGGACUAAGCAGAAAGGGAACAUUGCGCCUUGGGAAGCUUCGACAGAACGUGGAGUCCUCCCAGGAGAGGCAGGGGCUUGAGCAAAGGUCCUGGGGCAGCAGGAAAUAAAAGACAGCGGGGGGACUGACGGGCAGAGGGCAAGGACAGGAGAGGGCCCUGCCUUACAGGGAGGACAGACCAGACGCAGCCUAAGAAACCUUUUAAGGAUUUUAGUCAUUAUUUUAAGAACAAUAAGAAGUCACUGAAGAGAUGCAGCAGGGGUGGGGACGUGACAUAACCGUUUCCAAAAAGCCACCCUGCCCAAGGCACAGAUGACGACGAUGACGAUAAUGACGACGGUUUGCGUCCAUUUGGGGCGCUAAGCCACCUGCCUAAACAACAAGGGGCCCCCAGUUCAGCCUCCUUGUCCUGCACAUCCUCCCGAGUGGAACGGAACGUAGUUCAAGAGCCCAGGGGGUGAAGAGCACGGGCCAAGACCAGGACUGUCUGGUUUGAAGCCAGUUUUGUUCCUCCAGCUCCGUGACCUGAGGCUGGUUAGGCACUAGCUCUGGGGCUAGCAAUGUCUCCACACCCUAGUUUCCAAAUGUGUGAAAUGAGAGGGUGCUGAUAAUAGCCUCUGCUUCAGAUGCUCAGCUCAUAACAGCCCCAACUCAGAAGCGAGUGGCAGAGAUUAGCAGGUGUUCAGCCCUCUGUGAGACCAUUCAUAAAACACCGCCAUCACACAAAUAUCUUCUUCACCUGUUCAGUCCCCAAACUCCAAGUUCUUCAAGGCCCUAAAGUCCGCUUCAUGCAGCCACUGCAUCCCUGGCAAUGUCUGGGGCUGGCCCAGAGCGACAGGUCACAUACAGGGGCUGCCCACCACUUCUUGGAUGACCUCAGGCAAGUCUCUUUACUCCCCUGUAGAGGAGGAGGUUCAGUCCCCAGGAGAGGUUUCAAACUGUUCUUUGCAAAGGCUGCUGGGGGGUUGGGGUUGGGAGAGGGAGGGAGCCGGCAGGAUGCCAGCAGCCUCCCCCACCCCGACCCAGAGCCGCUGGGUUUGUAGGACAAAAGCUCAUGCUGAACUUUCACGUAAGCCUUCAGGUGAAGUUGCGAUGCAAAAAGAUAUUUCUGAAACUGCCUGGACUCAACCACCUUACUUUCCAUGACCUUCGGCCUGGAUGUCACCUCCGACCACGUUCCUGAUUCAUGGGCAGUUUGUAACUGGCUCUGCCAGUUCCCUGACUCGCAGAGCACGGCAAAAGGAAGAGCCCGGCUGCCUGAAUCCAGAGCCCGGCUUGCCCUUCCCAGCUCGUCCUCCAAAGUCUCAGCCGGAUGCGUUUCCUGGGACCCCCCCCACCGCUGCCCCCCACAACCCACCCAGAGAUAAGCAGGUCACAUCUCAAGCAGGAGUCACCCAGGGCAGGGCCACCUGGUCAUGACACCUCCAAGGCCCACCAGGAGUUUCGGGAUGACUGGCUCAUUUUUAUCCCUCAACUGUGUACCAAGCAAUUUUAUCGCGCGGUCCCGGUAUUUUCCGAAGCUUUGUUUGCUCCCCGCUCUACUGGCUGGGCCUUUCUGGUAGAUAAAGUCCAGGCAAGGGCGGGAGAGGACUCUUGUCCUUUCACAAAAGGGUGUGACACGGCACUGCCCCCACAAACACACACGCACGCACACACCAUACACACACACACCUGCACCCCUCCCGCCACACACGUCCCCCCAGGACGCACCCCUCACACAUCCCUCAUGAACCCACCCCCCCACACACACACACCUCUCCCACGGUCCCCGCACACCCACACCCAACACACACACAGUCUAUCCCAGGUUCACUCUCCCCACACCCCACACAAACCCACAAUCCUCUCACCUACACCUUCCACACACCUCGAGAGCCCCCGCCCCCGACGUCCUCCCCCACUGCACACGUGUUCACACACACACCCCAACACACACCUAAAGACCUCACACUCACAUGGCCUCCACCCUCCAUCCACCCUGUUCUCACACACACGCCCUCACACCUACCAGGCACGUACGAGAAACACACACCCAGAGAAGCGAACACACCCACUCCUGCUCCCGCGACCAGAGCCAAAGGCAUGGAAGGUGCACAGGCCUGAGCCCGGGAAAGGUAACUUUUCCAACACGCAGCCCCUCCCCUCUAUCACGCAGGGGCCGUGGGGCGCCAGGUCGGCUCAGCGCACCUGCUGGAGCAGCAGUGGGGGGAGCAAGGGUUUCUCUAUACCUGGAGAAUUUUCCAUCCAGAGGCAGAGCACAGAAGUGCACGGAAGAUGCGAGAUGCUUUCCGUGAGAGAAGUGCGGUCCAGCCCGGGGCUCUGAAGGCCCCGACGAGGAAGAGGUCCUCCCGGCUGGCAAGGCAGGGCUGGUGUGUGGCUUGAUGUCUGGCCUGGGUCCUGAGCAACAGGUGAGAACCAGACAGGCAGAGCCGGCACUGGGGAAGUGCCAGAGGGAAGGACCGCAGAAAGGGAAGGAUGAAAGAGUGGCCCUGAAAGGGGGAGCCGACGCCUGAGACUGGGCUGGGGGCGCCCGGCGGCUGAACUUGGAGGAGGGGGGAAGCCAGGUGAGGACUCCCCCACUUGGGAAGCAAGGAGGGCCUUCGGCGGCUUUGGGGACUGGAACACCACACGGCUGGGCUCUGCUCGAGGAAUAGGAACCUGGUGUCACGCGCAGGGUGGGCUGGGGAGAAGAGGCACAGAGACAGGGGACCAUUUACGUGCAGGUGGUAGGACUGAAAUGAUGGCCACAGGGAGGAGGCAGAGGGACAGAGACAGCGUGGCAGAUGACAGAUGGGCCGGCAAACGUCCCCGGCUCCCUCCGCGGUGGGGGGUGUCAAAGGCUCCGGAAAACACUGCCGCAUAGAAAGAAGCGGUCAGGAGGCAAGGAUGGGCUUAAAACGAGGCAUCUUUGUACGUGCAGAGGGAGGGUGCCAACAGUACCAAGGAGCAGAACUACCCAACUGGCGGUGAGUGUGCAGGCUUUAAACUCAGAAGGGGCAUCAGACAUGGAGAUGGAGGAGCUGGGGCCAGGACCGAGGACGGGAUUGUAGAGGCCGGGAAGGUGGAGGGAAGACGGAGAAAAUGGGAGGAAGAGGAAGGACGGGAAAACCCCUGGAAGAAGGCGCCCGCAUCACCCUAGCAUCGCUGUGAGGAGAGCGUUAUUAUUAUUGCAAUUCCCCUUUCCUACUGUCCAGCACAGGCAGCUCGACUCGAUACUGUGUAAUAACCCACAUGGAAAAGAAUCUGGAAAAGAAUAGCUGUGUGUAUAACUGAAUCACUUUGCUGUAUACCUGAAACUAACACAACACUGUAAAACAACUACACUCCAAUAUAAAAUAAAAAUCAGCUAAAAAAUAAAUUAAAUAAAUAAAAUGCCAAAAAAUGUCCCCUUUUCAGACAAGGAUGUUGAGGAGCAGAGAGGCUCAGUGGCUGGCCUAGCCUAACGGAACCAGUGAGUGAUGGAGCCGGAAGGGGAAACCGGGGUACCUGCCCUAUCCUUCAGACCCUUCCCACUAAACCAGGGGCUGGCAGACUACGGCCCAUGGGCCAAACCUGGCCCCUCUCUUCUUUUUAUAAAUCAAGUUUGUUUUUGGCCACACCCACAGGACACAGAAGUUCCAGGGCCAGGGAUGGAACCCACACCACAGCAGUGACAACGCCGGAUCCCUAACCCACUGAGCCACCAGGGAACUCCUACAAAUCAAGUUUUAGGGUGGGCCGGAGCCAGAUGGCCCAGCUGGUCUGAAGGGUGACUUCUUCAGAGGAGGGGUUGCAGAAAAUGGAGCAGGUCGGCAGGUGGAGGAAAGGAAGCCAGCAGAGGGGAAAAGAGGAAGCGGAGGUUACAAAUGGAGGAGCCUGUCUGGCUGUGCCCAGGACGGAGGUGGGCGGGAGUCCAGAGCCCAGAGAGAUUAGCUUUGCCCACGAGGGCCGGGGUGGGGGAUAGAGAUUUGAUGAGAGUCUCAGUAUUUAUAGGGCCAAUCACCUAUUUUUAUGAACUUAUUAUAUGCUUACAACUCUGUGCGUUAGGGGUUCAGAUCCCCAUUUUACAGGUGAGAAAACUGAGUCUCAGGGUAGUUUCGGGACUAGCCCACUGUACCUGUGCUCUCUCAGAGCAGCACCAGAAUUCAGACCUGAGUCCAAUGGACUCCAAGAACCAUGCCUGUUUCACCCCAUCCAGGCUUGAGCUGAUGUAUUCGAAUCUUGAGCUGAUCCAUUUCUUCUUCAUUUGUUCAGCCAGGUCCUUCUGCUGGAGAAGCAUCAAAGCAGACCGAUGCCCUGUCUUUGCAGCACUUCCCGUAGACCCAGGAGGAACCAGAGGCCAUAAGACACAGGCUCCCAAAGCCCCACUAGGAUGCCCAGGAAUGGCCACAAGCGCCAGGCGUCUUGCACGCUCCGUCAAAAGACUGGCACUCCAGAUCUGGGCCCCUGACACCACUGCUGGCACCCCAGCUGUUUGGGAGGGUCUGGGAAGCCCCGAACUUUCACGCAGUGGGGCUUUUAUGGCAACAGCUCUACUGUGGGCUUGGACACCGAACGAACGAGAAGUCCCGGCCUCCACUGUUCCUCUUGUCAAUUUUCCUCACGGAACUACUGAGGCCAAGUACAAAAGUCCAAGGGGGCCUCCUGUGAGCAGGUAUCACUCAGAAUCGCAGCCCCUUCUACCCCUCGGCUCUGGAUGGACCGUGAGCCCCGGAGCCGUGGGAGCUGCACGCAUCCGCACCCCUCAUCCAUCUCUCGGUACCGGCCCGACGGCACGCAGCGGCGCAUUUCAACAUGCUGGCUCCAGAGGCCAAGUGCAGAGCCAUGGCUGAGCGCGGGAGGCCCCUCCUCGGUGCUGGACACUGGGCACCACCUGUGCUGCCCGCCCCGUGAUAGCCAGGCCACGUGGGGGCUCACACCGAGCUUUAAGUCACAUGAAACCCUCCGGGCAGGUUUCGGACCAGCAAGCUCGAUUCUGCCACGCUGUCCCUGUGUCACUCACCCAUUUCUUGAUCCUGAGAGCAGGACUCUAUUGUUGUCUUAAUUCAAUUGCCUCUAGUCAAAUGCAACCCAAAUACAGCAACUAGGAGGGUCCACCUUCACGGUUCAUCAGACGGGCUCAUGCCAGUCACCUGUGCUUGAGCUGCCCCUCGAAUUUAUAUUUCUCUGCCCUAAUUUUAUACUGUUUAUUUAUGUCUCACCAUAAAUGGGGAUGUGUUCCUUAGAAGCUGCCUUAGAUCUUUUAUGGUUUGACGUAGCUACCUAAAUUAAAAAGUCAAUGGGCCUUUUGUUUUAACAU